Molecule: long non-coding RNA, 1614 nt
Filed under: Mytilus galloprovincialis (Mediterranean mussel)
Lineage: Eukaryota; Metazoa; Mollusca; Bivalvia; Mytilida; Mytilidae
Source: RNAcentral
GUCUUUACAAAAUUAUAAUUGAAGCCAUGCACAAGUCUGAAGAUCUACCGAAAAAUAAAUUUGAAUCACCCCAACUCCUAUGAACAAAAGUCAUCAUUAUUAAAAGCUUAUUUGAUCACAGAAACUUAAAAUUUAUUUGUUUUGGUGUUUUUUUAUUUAUUAUAUUUUAAGCUGUUUAGUGCUCAGAUAAAGACUACGCAACAAAUUUAAAUAAUUGCAUUUUUUAAGUGAUACACACUAUAAAGUAUUUUGUUUUUAUGUUAUUGUUUUUUUCUGUUUUUUAAUAGUAAAGUUCUUGCCAAUCUUCUUUUUCUCAUCUGAAGAUAACAGAUGUAAAUUUAGAUAAACUUUUGUCCAUCGGCCCAGUUAGUUUGGGUAUGGAUGUAACAUGCUUAUUUGGUGCAUUUAUAUAUAAAAUAUAAAAGAAAACCGGUGUAUAUUGUUAUAUUUGUCUUUUUCAGAAAAUAUUUAAUUGAUGUUUUUAAAACAGUGCCAUUUGAUUACAUUCCUACAUAAUUUUAGUUUGGUUUUUUUUCAAAUACCUUUGAUGCCUUUAAGAAACCAAAAAUUAGUUUAGGAAACGUAGAUCUGUAUAUAUGUAUCAGUUGUUUGUUAAAAUCUGUUCAAACUGAACCCUUUAAAGUAUAAAAAAAAUUGCCUGAAGUUAAGAAAGGGUCUUGUGGGUGCAGUUUAGAUAGGUUUUCACUCACUGUAAAAGAAACUUUUUGAAUUUUUUGUUGAGAUAAGAAUAUAUAUUUACAAAUAUUGAAGAGUGAAAACAAGUUCAUCCUCUAAACAUUUGUUAACUGAGGGGAAAAUGUGUAAAUCUGAUUUUAAUAUAUGGUUAAAUGAGAUCCUUUGAUACAUAUUUUACAGAAAGAGAAAAUACAAUAAAAUUGAGGAAUGCAUUGAAAGAUUACCUGAAAUUUCUCCCCCUUUUGAGCUAAGUUGGUGAAAAUUUUAAUCUUACUUAGUUACAAAAAAAUCAGCACAAUAGAAUCCACCUAUUUUGUAUUUGAAAUUUGUUAAAAAAAAGUUAAAAAAAGUAAAAAUAAGAAGAUAAAUCAUAUAAUAUUAUUAAUCUGGAUGAAAAGUGUUCCUCUUUUUAAAUUUACACAUUUCUUUAAAGACCUAGACUGCUUGGUUUAUGCUAUUUUACAUCAAAGGUGGCAGAAGACACCAAAUGAUGGCCAAUCUACUAAAAAAAUAAUAGUUGUUUUUUGGGGGUAGAAGAGAACGAUUUUCACCAAAAAAAUAUUACCGGUACAUGAAUUGGUAAAUAAUCUUUGCUCAAAUUUGAUUUGUCGGAUCAUUAUCUUAUUGACCUCUCUUUUAUCCAUUAUUGAAAUCAGAUUAGCAUAUUGAAUGUUAUUGAAAUAUAUGAAAGUUUUGGUUGAUAUUUUUAAAGGUUAUGGUUAUAUUUUGACAAUUAAUACAUACGUUUAUUCAUUAAUUACUAAAUUGUAGUGUUAACGCUUUGCUUUUGUUGUAGUUUGUCAAUAAAUUCUUUAAAAAGUAUUUGUUUUUGUCUUAUUCAAAUCUAUAUGUGUAAGAAGGUAUUGGUAGAGAGGCGUUUGGUUUAAAUAAAUCUGGUUGUGAAGAAAUGAGCAAGGG